UUUCCGUAGGUGAACCUGCGGAAGGAUCAUUAUCGAAUCUAACAUGAAAGAGGUAGAGAGACUGUGCUGGCCGAUCGCCGAUCGGCAUGUGCACGUCCCCUCGCCUUUUUCUGUCUACAUACACCUGUGCACCUAUUGUAGAUCCCCUCGAAAGAGAGGGAACUAUGUUUUCAUCACAUCACACACAAAGAAUGUCUAGAAUGUAAACAUGAUCAUAUAUACAACUUUCAGCAACGGAUCUCUUGGCUCUC
Molecule: unclassified non-coding RNA, 251 nt
Filed under: soil metagenome
Description: partial contains small subunit ribosomal RNA, internal transcribed spacer 1, and 5.8S ribosomal RNA
Source: RNAcentral